Molecule: ribosomal RNA, 269 nt
Filed under: uncultured prokaryote
Description: partial 16S ribosomal RNA
Rfam family: Bacterial small subunit ribosomal RNA
Source: RNAcentral
CACGUAGGAGGCAAACGUUAUCCGGAUUUACUGGGCGUAAAGCGCGUGUAGGUGGUUCUGUAAGUAGGGCGUGAAAGCUCCCGGCUCAACUGGGAGAUGCCGUUCUAAACUGCAGAGCUAGAGGAUGGUAGAGGGAGGUGGAAUUCCAGGUGUAGCGGUGGAAUGCGCAGAUAUCUGGAGGAACACCAGUGGCGAAGGCGGCCUCCUGGACCAUUCCUGACACUCAGACGCGAAAGCUAGGGUAGCAAACAGGAUUAGAUACCCCGGUA